RNAcentral lists this long non-coding RNA (487 nucleotides) under Nicotiana benthamiana. Its description in RNAcentral is "long non-coding RNA (NBEN_LNC036893)". Lineage: Eukaryota; Viridiplantae; Streptophyta; Magnoliopsida; Solanales; Solanaceae. The record is from RNAcentral.
GAAAAGGUACAUGGAAAUCGAAAGGGCAUGAUUCGAAAAUCGGUGCAGGAAACCAAACGCCACGUCAUAACCUGAACUACCUCGGGAGCAGAAGUAAUGAUCACGCAUGUGAUCGAUGAUGUCACCUCAAAAAGAAAUUCCCAAAAGGAGGUAACAUGCCAACUGCAUGACCUUUUCACACACGAACGUGUCUCUCACAGAGGUAUCAAUAGGAACGACCAAAUUUCCAUAGGCGUCAAGCGCUCAUGUCCGUCCAUUGGAAACGCCUUUCGAAUGCGUCCCCAAUAAACGAAGGGACUAUCUGUAUUGGGCAAAUUUGGUUCCACACAUCCACAUGGUAUCCACAUAUGGCCUCACUAAAGAAGGCGGCCUUAUCAUGGUCGACUUAAGUAAGGCCGGUCCCAGUCAAUAAACGAACCAAGUGAUGUGACUCAUUGUAAUAUCGCAUCAAGCUCUGACACUCGUAUAUCGAGGCCACCAACUCUUG